AGUGGUUAAGUAGGAGCUUGGCUGCUAACCAAAAGGCUGGUAGUUCGAAUCUACCAGCUGCUC
Molecule: transfer RNA, 63 nt
Filed under: Loxodonta africana (African savanna elephant)
Lineage: Eukaryota; Metazoa; Chordata; Mammalia; Proboscidea; Elephantidae
Rfam family: tRNA
About the family: Transfer RNA (tRNA) molecules are approximately 80 nucleotides in length. Their secondary structure includes four short double-helical elements and three loops (D, anti-codon, and T loops).
Source: Rfam by way of RNAcentral